UGAUCACGGCCGCCGAAUCCGCGAAUCUCGCGGAACCGGGGAACCAACCGUUCUUGGGGUGAAUCGGCGCCUCCGCGCGCCGUAGGGCACUUCCCAGCCCGAACCCGUCAGCUAACCCGGUAGGCGGAAUGAGAAGCGAA
RNAcentral lists this small RNA (140 nucleotides) under Streptosporangium roseum. Its description in RNAcentral is "c-di-AMP sequence". It matches the Rfam family "c-di-AMP riboswitch aptamer (ydaO/yuaA leader)". From Rfam's summary of the family: This family represents a conserved RNA structure found upstream of the ydaO and yuaA genes in Bacillus subtilis and related genes in other bacteria. The ydaO/yuaA element is thought to act as a genetic "off" switch for the ydaO and yuaA genes in its native state. RNAcentral also lists the same sequence under 1 other name. Lineage: Bacteria; Bacillati; Actinomycetota; Actinomycetes; Streptosporangiales; Streptosporangiaceae. The record is from RNAcentral.